RNAcentral lists this long non-coding RNA (3192 nucleotides) under Nasonia vitripennis (jewel wasp). Its description in RNAcentral is "uncharacterized LOC116416743". Lineage: Eukaryota; Metazoa; Arthropoda; Insecta; Hymenoptera; Pteromalidae. The record is from RNAcentral.
UCAUAACAUUGAUAUUCUGUACUAAAAUGUAAUCAAGGUGCGCAGUAGCGCCCCGAUGGCAAGUAUAAUUUAUUAUACACUUUGCCGUCGGGGAGCUGCGCGAUCCUAUUAUACUUUGAAUUUGCUAAAUAACCUAAAUGCGUUUUAUUGUCUCCAAUGAUUUCGUGUCUGAUAUGUCUUAGAUGCCUAUGUUUGGGUAAUGUAUCUUAAAGAUUUUAAUAAGAACUUUCUAAUGAUCAUAAUAUUUUGCUUCAAAAAUUUCUCUUUUAGCAAAAUACUUAUGAUCAAAAAUUAAUUUGCGAUUUCUUAAAAUUUUGGUCAUGUGCGAUUUUCAUCUUUUUAAGUACAGCAAUACAAGAUAUGUCAUGAUAAUAGGUUAUAAGGUUAGUAAGCUGUAUUUAUUUACACAUAUAAAAAAGCAAGAAGUUGUUGGGUAAGGUCACCUAAGCAUUAUCAUAAAGAAUGUGAGAGACGAGGAUUAGAUUUUCUAGGCUAGGAGUUGCCAUUUGUGAUCGUGGAUCAGUGUGUGACUAUAUGCAGCUGAAAGAGGCUCACGCGGCAGCAGCGUGCAUCGGGACUCGUGUAACGGUGUAAACAUUAAACAUAGCCUAAAAGAGUGCGGUGUAUUGGAGCUUAUCGGUGUACGGGUAUAAAGACUCGCUAUAUAAUCGAACUCUCUUAAAUCAGUCUGUGUGCGUGGUUAUACGUUUGCUGAAGAGCCCUCAUGCUUCCGAUAGAGUACCGCUCGACAAGAAUUAUAAUGUGUCUAAUAAGCGCCGAGAGCGCCAGCCAGGAUGCGAUGCAAGCUCUCGCGUAAAUAUACCAUACACGACGUGUGAAUGUUUGGAACAUAGUAAAUACAGCAGCGUGCUCUAUAUCAACUGGGAACGUCUCGGAACCUUUGGCUCACAUCAAUGGACUGAAAGUUGGACACUGGUCAGUCGCUCCAGGAUAUGCUGACUGCGACAUGAGAACGCGAUACACAAGGGCAGAGAAAACAGCUCUUUAAUAACUUAGAAACAAUUUCGAGGCGGGAUGCGACUAUGUCAACGAUCUCACCGAGUUCGGGGACGAGAAGAACCACUACGACGCAAGGAAGAUGGACUAGACACAUUGAAAAAUCACACCGACUUACUGGACUGCGAUAUCAAGAACGAGACCAAUAGUGUGAUCAGCGGCCCCUUUGCAUAAGCUCGUCUUCAACUUUAUGAGUUCUGACCGCUCAAGCUUAACGAUGACCCCAUCGAUUGCAAAGACGACCUCUACGGCUGAUGCUGGUUGUUCGACUUGUACCAGAGCCUUCCUAAGCGCUCUUUCAACCUCGAUAUAAGUAUCUGCGACGCCAACUCGAUCAGGCCUCUGCACAUGACGUUCAGCAGGCAUCACUUUGCGCUUAAAACUGAGCUGAAGAAGUCCGCGUGUCCGUGCUCGAGCAAGAGCUGCAGCAGCUGCCGGGUGGCGCGUCAGACAAUCGAUGGAGAUCGGCAGCGCUGGAAACCUGAGCAGCCUCAAGCUUCGCAUAUCCUUGACACCUGACGAAAGCCCAUACCACGCUGUUGCUGCUUGCCAAAUAUACAGCAACAAUAUACAACUACAUAGUCACGCUGGAACGACGGUAAACAAACGCGUUGCAGUAGCAUUCUCUCGACACGUCAUAUGUGUCGAAGCUAUUUCUUUAGAAGUUUGGUUAAACUUAUUAAACGGUCGUGAAAUGGGUUUGAAAAAAACCUUUUACAAGGUAAAAUAUUAGCAACUAUAAGUUAUGGCUUCAUCCUCACAAAUCUGAUGUAUCUUUGUAUUAUGAUUCUUAUUCCUUCUUAAAAAUUUACGAAAUUCUAAAAAGAAUUAUCAAAUGUUUGUAGCUUACAAAAGUUUCUCCAUAUAUUCUCAUAAAUAUAUACGUUAGUGAAUGUAGUGAAAUCAGUUUUGAAAAGGUCAAGCAAAGAUCAGCAGAUAAGCUAGAAAUAAUUAUAAUUAAUAAGUAUGAAAAAUAAGAUAGUUGCACUUUUCGAAAUUAUUAUUUUAACUCGCACCUCCCGUCCCGUCGUCUUGUAGUCUACGAUAUGCAUAAUAUUUACUAAUCGUCAUACACAUCAUACGUGCAUAUUUACUAAAAAAACUUGAUUGUUUAAUGAGGUUCAGUUGCUACAAGAAAAAUUCAGCCGAUUCCGAAAUAUUAAAAUUCUAUUCUUUACAAUAAACUUAUAUUGUAACUUAGAUUAUAAUAAAAAAUGUUCUAAUUUUAAUUCGUAUUAUUUAACAGAUUUAGACACACCUCAAAACCAAUAAUCUGAGUGUUUCAUCAAUAAACCAUAAUCCAUAUAGAAUCCAUAUAGAUUAUCCAUAUGGAAAAUCCAGCUGGAUAUCCAGGUAUAUAUUUUCAACAGGGCUCCUUCGUAGAAAGAAGCUUAGCGCACAAUUUACAUUUAAAAACUGAGGAUUUGUGCUCCAACUAGUGUAGACUUUUUUACAGAUAGAUAGGGCUCUACCUGCACAUUGCGUGAUAAUUUAGUGACAGCAUUUCCAGGACAUAUACAGGAAUAAAAUAAAUGAUUAGUUGAAUUCCGGAAUGAACUGCCUACAUUGACUUAUUCAGAAUAAUUAAAUCCAAUGUUAAUUACUUGAUGAAGAACGAAACAUCCAACGUAGACCAAAUCACCUGGACGCUGUAACAAUAUCUCGAAAUUGAUACUAUUUUUUUCAAAUAAGACGGAUAUACAAUAAGAUUCUUAUGAUUAAUAGGCAUGGAACAACCAUCAAGAAAAGAAUUUGAAUAUUUUUUCCGUUGUUUUUUUAAAAAUAGUAUGUCGCUGGAUAGUUGAUUGAGCAACUUGCUAUUGUCGUCUUUGUCAAGAAUCAACCAUAAUUUCAUUGAAUCCGGCAAGCCACCGAGAAUCAAAUUAGCACUGUCUGAAUUAGAAUCUUCAGAAUGUAUACCUGAGAACGAAUUAUGUCCAGCUACAGAAUAAGAAGGAUCAUUGAUUCCAGGACAAUCUCAAUAAUCUUCAUUCAUUUGAAUACUUAUGUUGUGGGGCAUAUCAACUAAAAAAGAAUCGAAGAUAUUAUUUUUUUUUACACAGUUCAUGGCGUAAAUUGGACGAAUCUUUUUCUGAACUAUAUUUGAAAUAGACUCUUGAUAUAAUUCAACAAUAGCAUUUUUUUCAGAAGCAUCAAUUUUUAUUUGUUUUCGCA